GGUUGUCGUCAGCUCGUGUCGUGAGAUGUUGGGUUAAGUCCCGCAACGAGCGCAACCCUUAAGCUUAGUUGCCAUCAUUAAGUUGGGCACUCUAAGUUGACUGCCGGUGACAAACCGGAGGAAGGUGGGGAUGACGUCAAAUCAUCAUGCCCCUUAUGAUUUGGGCUACACACGUGCUACAAUGGACAAUACAAAGGGCAGCGAAACCGCGAGGUCAAGCAAAUCCCAUAAAGUUGUUCUCAGUUCGGAUUGUAGUCUGCAACUCGACUACAUGAAGCUGGAAUCGCUAGUAAUCGUAGAUCAGC
RNAcentral lists this ribosomal RNA (305 nucleotides) under Staphylococcus aureus. RNAcentral's name for it is "bacterial SSU rRNA". It matches the Rfam family "Bacterial small subunit ribosomal RNA", at positions 1047 to 1353 of the family's 1533-position model. The record is from RNAcentral. Lineage: Bacteria; Bacillati; Bacillota; Bacilli; Caryophanales; Staphylococcaceae.